RNAcentral lists this ribosomal RNA (467 nucleotides) under uncultured bacterium. Its description in RNAcentral is "bacterial SSU rRNA". It matches the Rfam family "Bacterial small subunit ribosomal RNA", at positions 28 to 478 of the family's 1533-position model. The record is from RNAcentral.
GACAAACGCUAACGGUGCGCCUAAUACAUGCAAGUCGAACGAGCGAUGUAGAAGUGGCAACACUUUUACAAAGCUAGUGGCGAACGGGUGAGUAACGCGUAGACAAUCUGCCUUGGAGAUUGGGACAACCAUUCGAAAGAAUGGCUAAUACCAAAUACCUUAUAUUAACCGCAUGGUUUUUAUAAUAAAGGGGGGCUUUUAGCUCUCGCUUCAAGAUGAGUCUGCGUCCUAUUAGCUUGUUGGUGAGGUAAAAGCUCACCAAGGCAACGAUGGGUAGCCGGCCUGAGAGGGUGAUCGGCCACACUGGGACUGAGAUACGGCCCAGACUCCUACGGGAGGCAGCAGUAGGGAAUUUUGCGCAAUGGGCGAAAGCCUGACGCAGCGACACCGUGUGAAGGAUGAAGGCCUUCGGGUCGUAAACUUCUGUCAAUUGGGGACGAAGGUAGUAGGGUUAAUACCCCGAAUAC